RNAcentral lists this ribosomal RNA (496 nucleotides) under uncultured bacterium. Its description in RNAcentral is "partial 16S ribosomal RNA". It matches the Rfam family "Bacterial small subunit ribosomal RNA", at positions 29 to 507 of the family's 1533-position model. The record is from RNAcentral.
AUGAACGCUGGCGGCGUGCCUAAUACAUGCCAGUCGAGCGAACAGACGAGGAGCUUGCUCCUCUGACGUUAGCGGCGGGCGGGUGAGUAACACGUGGAUAACCUACCUAUAAGACUGGGAUAACUUCGGGAAACCGGAGCUAAUACCGGAUAAUAUAUUGAACCGCCUGGUUCAAUAGUGAAAGACGGUUUUGCUGUCACUUAUAGAUGGAUCCGCGCCGUAUUAGCUAGUUGGUAAGGUAACGGCUUACCAAGGCAACGAUGCGUAGCCGACCUGAGAGGGUGAUCGGCCACACUGGAACUGAGACACGGUCCAGACUCCUACGGGAGGCAGCAGUAGGGAAUCUUCCGCAAUGGGCGAAAGCCUGACGGAGCAACGCCGCGUGAGUGAUGAAGGUCUUCGGAUCGUAAAACUCUGUUAUUAGGGAAGAACAAAUGUGUAAGUAACUAUGCACGUCUUGACGGUACCUAAUCAGAAAGCCACGGCUAACUACGUG